AGAAGUCUUGGUCAUCUUUACAUUGAUUAUUUCUCUCUUUUAUCGAAUUAUAAUUUCCUCUUCUUCUAUGGAAUCAAUACCUUCUCCACCCACCUACAAGGUGGAGGCUUCUUUCCUUCUCCCAUCAUCUCAUUCUGUUAUUUCUAUCUCGAACAUUAAGAAUCUAGUUCUCACGUUCUUGAUUAUACAAAUUAUAUGUUAUGGAGAGAGCUUUUCUUGCUUGUUUUCAAGGGUCAUAGUGUCUAUGGCUUCAUUGAUGUAAGUAUCCCUUAUGCCGAGCCUUCUAUUUCUCGUGAUAAUGGCACCUUUGUAUUCAAUCCUACAUUCAAACAAUGGGGUCAACUGGACUCUAUUGUUCUCUCAUGGAUUCGGGCAAUAAUUUCUCAAGAGAUUCUCUAGGCUAUAAUCAAGCGACACCAUACUCUCACCGGUAGGGAUCCUUGGCUUCAAAAUAGAGCAUCUAUUUUGUGACACCGAACUCUUCAACUCAAGGUCCAGUUUAACAAUCUUAAGAAAGGUGAUCUUUCAAUAAAUGAAUAUGUUCAUCAUCCCAAGUUCAUUGCUGAUGGAUUAUAAUAAGCAGCGGAAGCAAUUCCGGUGUUAAAAUCACAUGUAAUCUAGACAACUAGCAUAAACGAGAUUUCACGGGUUACCUCUUGAAGCAAUUAUAGUAUUCCACUUUUCUAAGUCUAAUAAUGUUGGUGAAGCUUUGUCUAUGUAAAAACUCUCUACAUUAUUACUGAUGGAUUAUAAUAACCAGCGGAAGCAAUCCCAGUAUCAAAAUCACAUGUAAUCUAGACAACUAGUACAAACGAGAUUUCACGGGUUACCUCUUAAAGCGUGAACAUAUCUCUUCUACCAUGUGAGCCUUCUAUUCCAUAACUUCUCAAUGGAAUCUCCAUCACCCGCACAAUCGUGAUUCUCGAACGUUUCACGGUCUUCUAUUGUGUUACCCAAAUAAUAACAGGAAAUAGCAAUUUCGUGUGGGCAAAAUUUCUAGGAAAACUUGGCUGCAAAUUUUAGCCACCAUGUCUUUUCUUUUCUAGGUGGAAAACCUUAUGUAUUUAUGCACAUGUUUGAAGGGUUACCCUUUUCAAAAAACAUGUUGAGUUUUCAUUUUCACCAGAAAAAGAAUUCUUUAUUUCCUAUUAUUUAGGCACAGUAGAGACCACAGAAUUUAACAAG
This 1185-nucleotide long non-coding RNA is filed under the name Nicotiana benthamiana. RNAcentral describes it as "long non-coding RNA (NBEN_LNC026219)". The record is from RNAcentral. Lineage: Eukaryota; Viridiplantae; Streptophyta; Magnoliopsida; Solanales; Solanaceae.